UGGGGAAUAUUGGACAAUGGGCGCAAGCCUGAUCCAGCCAUGCCGCGUGAGUGAUGAAGGCCCUAGGGUUGUAAAGAUCUUUCGCCAGGGACGAUAAUGACGGUACCUGGAUAAGAAGCCCCGGCUAACUUCGUGCCAGCAGCCGCGGUAAUACGAAGGGGGCUAGCGUUGUUCGGAAUCACUGGGCGUAAAGCGCACGUAGGCGGAUCUUUAAGUCAGGGGUGAAAUCCCGAGGCUCAACCUCGGAACUGCCUUUGAUACUGGAGGUCUCGAGUUCGGGGAGAGGUGAGUGGAACUGCGAGUGUAGAGGUGAAAUUCGUAGAUAUUCGCAAGAACACCAGUGGCGAAGGCGGCUCACUGGCCCGAUACUGACGCUGAGGUGCGAAAGCGUGGGGAGCAAAACAGGAUUAGAUACCCUGGUAGUCCACGCCGUAAACGAUGGAUGCUAGCCGUUGGGGAGCUUGCUCUUCAGUGGCGCAGCUAACGCUUUAAGCAUCCGCCUGGGGAGUACGGUCGCAAGAUUAAAACUCAAAGGAAUUGAC
This 542-nucleotide ribosomal RNA is filed under the name uncultured bacterium. RNAcentral describes it as "partial 16S ribosomal RNA". It matches the Rfam family "Bacterial small subunit ribosomal RNA", at positions 355 to 914 of the family's 1533-position model. The record is from RNAcentral.